AUACGUAGGGUGCGAGCGUUGUCCGGAAUUACUGGGCGUAAAGAGCUCGUAGGUGGUUUGUCGCGUCGUCUGUGAAAUUCCGGGGCUUAACUCCGGGCGUGCAGGCGAUACGGGCAUAACUUGAGUACUGUAGGGGAGACUGGAAUUCCUGGUGUAGCGGUGAAAUGCGCAGAUAUCAGGAGGAACACCGGUGGCGAAGGCGGGUCUCUGGUCAGUAACGGACGCUGAGGAGCGAAAGGAUGGGUAGCGAACAGGAUUAGAUUCCCUGGUAGUCCAUGCCGUAAGCGGUGGGCGCUAGGUGUAGGGGUCUUCCACGGCUUCUGUGCCGUAGCUAACGCAUUAAGCGCCCCGCCUGGGGAGUACGGCCGCAAGGCUAAAACUCAAAGGAAUUGACGGGG
Molecule: ribosomal RNA, 398 nt
Filed under: uncultured bacterium
Lineage: Bacteria
Description: partial 16S ribosomal RNA
Rfam family: Bacterial small subunit ribosomal RNA
Source: RNAcentral